GCAGCCCUGCUCUGAGCACUCCCUGCACUCCCAGUGCUCCCAGCACUCCCAGUGCUCCUAGCAGGCCCAUUCCCAGCUCUCCCGGCACUCCCAGAAGGCCUGUUCCCAGUGCUCCCAGCGCUCCCAGCAGGCCCAUUCUCGGCACUCCCAGUGUUCCCAGUGCUCCCAGCGCCCCCAGCAGGCCCGUUCCCAAUGCUCCCAGCACUCCCAGUGCUCUCAGUGCUCCCAGCAGGCCUGUUCCCAGUGCUCCCAGCGUUCCCAGUGCUCCCAGCAGGUCUGUUCCCAGCAUUCCCAGCUCUCCCGGCGCUCCCAACAGGCCCGCUCCCAGCGCUCCUGGUGUUCCCAGCAUUCCCAGGUCUGCCAGCAGGCCUGCUCCUGGCAUUCCCAGCUCUCCCAGUGCUCUCAGCAGGCCCGUUCCCAGCUUUUCCAGUGUCCCCAGCAGGCCCGUUCCUAGCAGGCCCAGGUCUCCCAGCAGGCCUGUUCCCAGCAUUCCCAGCUCUCCCGGCGCUCCCAGCAGGCCUGCUCCCAGCACUCCGGGUGUUCCCAGCAUUCCCAGUGCUCCCAGCAGGCCCGUUCCCAGCAGCACAGUUCUCCCAACAGGCCCGUUCCCAGCGCUCCCAGCGUUCCCAGCAGGCCCGUUCGCAGCGCUCCCAGCGUUCCCAGCUCUCCCAGCGCUCCCAGCAGGCCCAGCAUUCCCGGCGCUCCGGGCGCUCCGGGCGGGGCGCACCGACGACGCGGAGGCGCAGGCUGGCCGUGUCCUCCAUGUUCUCGAUGCGCACGCUCAGCUCGUACUGGCCCGAGUGCUGCCGCCCGGCCGCCCGGAUGAAGAACACCGUGUCCAGCUCCGACGUGCGGAUGUUCACGUCCUCGGCCAGCGGCUGCCCCUCCUUGCUCCAGGUCACCUGCGGCCGCGGCUUCCCCUGCGCGUCGUCCCCCCCGGCAGCGUCACCCCCUGCUCCGGUGACCUCCGAGGGGUCCCGGGGGCUGCCGGUGUCCCCAAAAGUGCUCCGGGGGCCACCGGCAUCCCCAAAGGUGCUCCAAGGGAUCGUGGGUGUCCCCAAAAGUGCCCCAAGGGCCACAAGGGUCCUCAAAGGGGCCCCAAGGGAUCGUGGGUGUCCCCAAAAGUGCCCCAAGGGCCACCGGCAUCCCCAAAGGUGCUCCAAGGGAUCACGGGUGUCCCCAAAAGUGCCCCAGGGGC
RNAcentral lists this long non-coding RNA (1198 nucleotides) under Apteryx rowi (Okarito brown kiwi). RNAcentral describes it as "lncRNA (ENSARWG00000002887.1)". Lineage: Eukaryota; Metazoa; Chordata; Aves; Apterygiformes; Apterygidae. The record is from RNAcentral.